RNAcentral lists this transfer RNA (70 nucleotides) under Ensatina eschscholtzii (common Ensatina). Its description in RNAcentral is "tRNA-Lys". It matches the Rfam family "tRNA". Rfam says of the family: Transfer RNA (tRNA) molecules are approximately 80 nucleotides in length. Their secondary structure includes four short double-helical elements and three loops (D, anti-codon, and T loops). Further hydrogen bonds mediate the characteristic L-shaped molecular structure. tRNAs have two regions of fundamental functional importance: the anti-codon, which is responsible for specific mRNA codon recognition, and the 3' end, to which the tRNAs corresponding amino acid is attached (by aminoacyl-tRNA synthetases). tRNAs cope with the degeneracy of the genetic code in two manners: having more than one tRNA (with a specific anti-codon) for a particular amino acid; and 'wobble' base-pairing, i.e. permitting non-standard base-pairing at the 3rd anti-codon position. The record is from RNAcentral. Lineage: Eukaryota; Metazoa; Chordata; Amphibia; Caudata; Plethodontidae.
CAUUAAGAAGCUUUCACGUAAGCAACAGCCUUUUAAACUGUAAUUCGGUGAUUCCAACCACCCUUAAUGA